Molecule: ribosomal RNA, 283 nt
Filed under: uncultured bacterium
Lineage: Bacteria
Description: partial 16S ribosomal RNA
Rfam family: Bacterial small subunit ribosomal RNA
Source: RNAcentral
GACGAACGCUGGCGGCGUGCUUAACACAUGCAAGUCGAGCGGUAAGGCCCUUUCGGGGGUACGACGAGCGGCGAACGGGUGAGUAACACGUGGGUGACCUGCCCUCAGCUCUGGGAUAAGCCUGGGAAACCGGGGUCGUAAUACCGGAUAUGACUCCAUGACGCAUGUUGUGGGGUGGAAAGCCUUGUGCGGCUGAGGAUGGGCCCGCGGCCUAUCAGCUUGUUGGUGGGGUGAUGGCCUACCAAGGCGACGACGGGUAGCCGGCCUGAGAGGGCGACCGGCC